Cucurbita maxima (winter squash) is the source of this 112-nucleotide long non-coding RNA. RefSeq lists it as uncharacterized. The record is from RefSeq and is a predicted model, not a curated record. NCBI's taxonomy places the organism in Eukaryota, Viridiplantae, Streptophyta, Magnoliopsida, Cucurbitales, Cucurbitaceae. The transcript has 3 exons.
UUUAGAACAAGCUGCUAGACUUGAUAUGUGGAAAUUAAUACAAGGGGAGUAAGAUUCAGAUUACCUUGUUGAUCAAAUAUCUCAACACAAGAACAUUGUUUGAGAUUCAAAU